GGAGAGGGAGAGGGAGAGGGAGAGUGAUUAUGAAGUUGGUGACCAUGGUCGUGGGCGUUCACAUGAUAGAGAAUCUGAUUAUGAUCAUGUUGACUCAAAACACGAGAGGGAUCGCCGUGCUGAAAGGGACUAUGAUCAUACUGAGCUAGAGGAUGACCAUGGUUGGUAUGAACAACCUGAGCAGGGGCACAGGCAGCCAGAUGCAGAGCAUGAUCAGCGUUAUGAUCAUUAUGAACGUCCCCGAAGUAGGGGACAAUAUGAUCAUAUGGAUGUUCGAGGUGACCAUGACCGUUAUGAUCAAUAUCCUGACCAUGAUCAUGAUCGUUAUGAUCAAAUGGAUGACGAUGAUUAUCACUAUGAUCGUGGAGCAUCUGAGUCACAUGAAAGAGAUCGUGAAUAUCGGCGCUCAAAGAGAUCACUUUCCCAGGACUAUGAUAACUGAAAGUGCAAGUUUGCUGUAAUCCUGCUGUUAUGCUUUAUCGGUAAGGUCACUGAAUUUAACAGAAGCCCUUUUUGCUCUAUAUUGCUCUGUCUUUCCUGCCUAAUUUGGUUUGAAUUAUAUAAAUGAGUUUAGGUGCGUGUUUGAUCAAAAGCUAGACUGGUUUGUUGUCUCUACUUCAAAAUAUGGCUGUUGAACUUCCCAUUUUAUGUGUAAGUGAAUAGGAUUCAAGUAUAUUUGGUCGUUUUGUUGGAUUUUGUUCCUAAAUUUGAAAUGACUCGGGAUAUUUGCCUUGCUUAGCUUCUUUUCUCAGAUUGCAAUACAAUGUUAUGCUGUAUUGGAAUUUAAUUUAUUUAAUUGGCAUCCGCUUGACUAUUUUUUAGCUUGGGCACUGAGGUAAACCGUACAAUUGUAUAUUGUAUUACAUCUUAAUAAUUGUGGUUGAUUCUCAUCGUUGUUUGGAAGUAGUAGCUUGUGGUUGAUUUUCAA
RNAcentral lists this unclassified non-coding RNA (928 nucleotides) under Hevea brasiliensis (rubber tree). Lineage: Eukaryota; Viridiplantae; Streptophyta; Magnoliopsida; Malpighiales; Euphorbiaceae. The record is from RNAcentral.